This is a non-coding RNA of Cordylochernes scorpioides, 76 nucleotides long. The record is from the annotation of a GenBank genome assembly. NCBI's taxonomy places the organism in Eukaryota, Metazoa, Arthropoda, Arachnida, Pseudoscorpiones, Chernetidae.
GGAAUAUUCGGUGGUUCAGUGGUAGAAUGCUCGCCUGCCACGCGGGCGGCCCGGGUUCGAUACCCGGCAUAUUUUU